RNAcentral lists this unclassified non-coding RNA (358 nucleotides) under Hevea brasiliensis (rubber tree). The record is from RNAcentral. Lineage: Eukaryota; Viridiplantae; Streptophyta; Magnoliopsida; Malpighiales; Euphorbiaceae.
GAUUUAUCUUCUCCAAUUGACCCACUUGGAAAUCCUAUGCCGUCUUUCAAGGCAUCUUAUCAAACAUGGCGGGAGGAUUUCAAUCAAUACCCAUGGCCAUUGAUUACUCGCGUUAAAAGAUGUUGGGACAGGCUAAAAGAGUGGCUAGCCAUAAAUUUCCCUGAAGGUUUGUCUACAUUGCGUAAAGGUGCAUCUGAGGAAGAAAUACUGGAGUUGGAGAAGAGUUUGAAAGUAAAACUGCCUCUACCUACUAGGGUUCUCUACCGGUUUUAUGAUGGUCAAGAACUAUCAAGUGAGGAGUCCAGUGGGAGCGCGCCUGGGAGUUUAUUAGGUCUCAUGGGAGGUUACUCCUUUUAUG